AGAGUUUGAUCAUGGCUCAGAACGAACGCUGGCGGCAUGCCUAACACAUGCAAGUCGAACGCAAGGUCUCGGUUCGCCGGGGCCUUGAGUGGCGCACGGGUGAGUAGCGCGUGGGAACCUGCCCUGGAGUGGGGGAUAACCGAGGGAAACUUCGGCUAAUACCGCAUGCGCCCGGAGCAAUCCGGGGAAAGAUUUAUCGCUCUAGGAGGGGCCCGCGUCGGAUUAGCUAGUUGGUGGGGUAACGGCCUACCAAGGCGAUGAUCCGUAGCUGGUCUGAGAGGAUGAUCAGCCACACUGGGACUGAGACACGGCCCAGACUCCUACGGGAGGCAGCAGUGGGGAAUAUUGGACAAUGGGCGAAAGCCUGAUCCAGCAAUGCCGCGUGAGUGAGGAAGGCCUUAGGGUUGUAAAGCUCUUUCGGCGGGGACGAUGAUGACGGUACCCGCAGAAGAAGCCCCGGCUAACUUCGUGCCAGCAGCCGCGGUAAUACGAAGGGGGCGAGCGUUGUUCGGAUUUACUGGGCGUAAAGGGCGCGCAGGCGGUUCCGUUUGUCGAGUGUGAAAGCCCCGGGCUCAACCUGGGAACUGCGCUCGAAACGGCGGAACUAGAGUUCGGGAGAGGAGAGUGGAAUUCCCAGUGUAGAGGUGAAAUUCGUAGAUAUUGGGAAGAACACCGGUGGCGAAGGCGGCUCUCUGGACCGAUACUGACGCUGAGGCGCGAAAGCGUGGGGAGCAAACAGGAUUAGAUACCCUAGUAGUCC
This 760-nucleotide ribosomal RNA is filed under the name uncultured bacterium. RNAcentral's name for it is "bacterial SSU rRNA". It matches the Rfam family "Bacterial small subunit ribosomal RNA", at positions 8 to 796 of the family's 1533-position model. The record is from RNAcentral.